Molecule: ribosomal RNA, 897 nt
Filed under: uncultured Chloroflexota bacterium
Lineage: Bacteria; Bacillati; Chloroflexota
Description: bacterial SSU rRNA
Rfam family: Bacterial small subunit ribosomal RNA
Source: RNAcentral
AGAGUUUGAUCCUGGCUCAGGAUGAACGCUGGCGGCGUGCUUAAUACAUGCAAGUCGAACGGGGAGCUUGGACUUCGGUUUAGGCUUCUAGUGGCGAACGGGUGAGUAACGCGUUGGUGACCUGCCCCGAAGAGAUGGAUAACAGUUCGAAAGGACUGCUAAUACCGCAUAAUCUCUAUCUAGUUAGAAGUGGAUAGAGGAAAGGAGCAAUCCGCUUUGGGAGGGGCCUGCGUCCCAUCAGCUAGUUGGUAGGGUAAAGGCCUACCAAGGCGACGACGGGUAGGGGACCUGAGAGGGUGACCCCCCACACUGGCACUGAAACACGGGCCAGACACCUACGGGUGGCAGCAGUAGGGAAUAUUGCACAAUGGGCGAAAGCCUGAUGCAGCAACGCCGCGUGCGCGAUGAAGGCCUUCGGGUCGUAAAGCGCUUUUCGGGGAGAAGAGGAAGGACGGUAUCCCCGGAAGAAGGAUCGGCUAACUACGUGCCAGCAGCCGCGGUAACACGUAGGAUCCGAGCGUUAUCCGAAUUCACUGGGCGUAAAGCGCGUGCAGGCGGUACGGUAAGUUGGAUGUGAAAUCUCCUGGCUCAACUGGGAGGGGACGUUCAAUACUGUCGAACUAGAGGGCGGUAGAGGGAGGUGGAAUUCCCGGUGUAGUGGUGAAAUGCGUAGAUAUCGGGAGGAACACCAGAGGCGAAGGCGGCCUCCUGGACCGCACCUGACGCUCAGACGCGAAAGCUAGGGGAGCGAACGGGAUUAGAAACCCCGGUAGUCCUAGCCGUAAACGAUGUAGACUUGGUGUUGGUGGUGUAAAAACCACCAGUGCCGAAGCAAACGCGAUAAGUCUACCGCCUGGGGACUACGGCCGCAAGGUUAAAACUCAAAGGAAUUGACGG